AAACUGCGAAUGGCUCAUUAAAUCAGUUAUCGUUUAUUUGAUAGUACCUUACUACUUGGAUAACCGUGGUAAUUCUAGAGCUAAUACAUGCUAAAAACCUCGACUUCGGAAGGGGUGUAUUUAUUAGAUAAAAAACCAAUGCCCUUCGGGGCUCCUUGGUGAUUCAUAAUAACUUAACGAAUCGCAUGGCCUUGUGCCGGCGAUGGUUCAUUCAAAUUUCUGCCCUAUCAACUUUCGAUGGUAAGGUCUUGGCUUACCAUGGUCUCAACGGGUAACGGGGAAUUAGGGUUCUAUUCCGGAGAGGGAGCCUGAGAAACGGCUACCACAUCCAAGGAAGGCAGCAGGCGCGCAAAUUACCCAAUCCCGAUUCGGGGAGGUAGUGACAAUAAAUACUGAUACGGGGCUCUUUUGGGUCUCGUAAUUGGAAUGAGUACAAUCUAAAUCCCUUAACGAGGAACAAUUGGAGGGCAAGUCUGGUGCCAGCAGCCGCGGUAAUUCCAGCUCCAAUAGCGUAUAUUAAAGUUGUUGCCGUUAAAAAGCUCGUAGUUGAACCUUGGGCCUGGCUGACCUGUCCUCCUAAU
This 581-nucleotide ribosomal RNA is filed under the name uncultured fungus. RNAcentral describes it as "SSU rRNA". It matches the Rfam family "Eukaryotic small subunit ribosomal RNA", at positions 84 to 668 of the family's 1831-position model. Lineage: Eukaryota; Fungi. The record is from RNAcentral.